Molecule: transfer RNA, 75 nt
Filed under: Pomatoschistus minutus (sand goby)
Lineage: Eukaryota; Metazoa; Chordata; Actinopteri; Gobiiformes; Gobiidae
Description: tRNA-Leu
Rfam family: tRNA
About the family: Transfer RNA (tRNA) molecules are approximately 80 nucleotides in length. Their secondary structure includes four short double-helical elements and three loops (D, anti-codon, and T loops). Further hydrogen bonds mediate the characteristic L-shaped molecular structure. tRNAs have two regions of fundamental functional importance: the anti-codon, which is responsible for specific mRNA codon recognition, and the 3' end, to which the tRNAs corresponding amino acid is attached (by aminoacyl-tRNA synthetases). tRNAs cope with the degeneracy of the genetic code in two manners: having more than one tRNA (with a specific anti-codon) for a particular amino acid; and 'wobble' base-pairing, i.e. permitting non-standard base-pairing at the 3rd anti-codon position.
Source: RNAcentral
GUUAAGGUGGCAGAGCCCGGAGAUAUGCAAAAGGCCUAAGCCCUUUGAACAGAGGUUCAAAUCCUCUCCUUAACU